This 79-nucleotide transfer RNA is filed under the name Bradyrhizobium sp. G22. Its description in RNAcentral is "tRNAPseudoCAG". Lineage: Bacteria; Pseudomonadati; Pseudomonadota; Alphaproteobacteria; Hyphomicrobiales; Nitrobacteraceae. The record is from RNAcentral.
GCGCAGGUGGGUGGAAUUGGUAGACGCUCUGGCUUCAGGUGCCUUCGCGGCCGUGAAGGUUCGAGUCCUUUCCGGGGCG